RNAcentral lists this ribosomal RNA (468 nucleotides) under uncultured bacterium. RNAcentral's name for it is "partial 16S ribosomal RNA". It matches the Rfam family "Bacterial small subunit ribosomal RNA", at positions 28 to 507 of the family's 1533-position model. The record is from RNAcentral.
GACGAACGCUGGCGGCGUGCUUAACACAUGCAAGUCGAACGGAAAGGCCCUGCUUUUGUGGGGUGCUCGAGUGGCGAACGGGUGAGUAACACGUGAGUAACCUGCCCCUGACUUUGGGAUAACUUCAGGAAACUGGGGCUAAUACCGGAUAGGAGCUCCUGCUGCAUGUUGGGGGUUGGAAAGUUUCGGCGGUUGGGGAUGGAUUCGAGGCUUAUCAGCUGGUUGGUGGGGUAGUGGCUUACCAAGGCUUUGACGGGUAGCCGGCCUGAGAGGGUGACCGGCCACAAUGGGACUGAGAUACGGAGCAGAAGCCAACGGGAGGCAGCAGUGGAGAAUAUUGCACAGUGGGCGGAAGCCUGAUGCAGCGACGCCGCGUGCGGGAUGACGGGCUUCGAGUUGUAAACAGCUUUCGACUGUGACAAAGAGUGAGUGACGGUAAUGGGUAAAGAAGCAACGGCUAACUACGUG